AUAAAACGUUUCAACUUUUAAGACACUAAUUUAACUCUCAGCACUGCAUUCCAACUAUUCAAUUUCAAGUAUUUAAUACGAAUUUUCUUGUAGGUUCUAUAGUUCAAUGGAAUGUAUCUCGAUCAUAUGAUUGUAAUAAAAAUGUGUCUUUUUUCAGAACAGAUAACUAUACAUUUAAAAUAUCUUAGUGCCAAGUUGCAGAAGCAAACAGAGCUCCUUUGUGCCCAAAUGGUAAAGAGUAAUUAAUUAUGAAACGAAUAUUGCCUUAAUACAUGGUUACCCAUUGAAUAGGCUGUGUGUACUAUGUUCUACAAUUACCUACUGCACUUAUGUACCGAAUACCAGUUAUCUAUUACUCUGAUAAGGAUGUAGCAUAUGUAAAUUAUUUUCGAGCGUAAUACUCGUAGUACCUACUUUUUAAUUAUCAUGUUUAUAUUACCAUAUAGCUAAAGGUCUUCCUGAAGGAAGUAGAAAUAGUUGACAAGAUUAAAAUUUAUGGGCAUUAAGCAUUAGCUUUUCCUCUGUUCAGAGUUAAUUGGCAGUCAGUAUUACAUUUUGUUACGUUUAAUUAUUGUUAAUAUAGAUCAAAAUGUGAAGGUAGUUUUAAAAGUUUAGUUAGAUUUUCGUUGUUCACUUUUUGGUGUCGUAAAUUUAGGUAAUCAUAGAUUAUCCAUUGAGGAGAUGGAUUAGAAGAAAGCCAUAGUCAAAAAUAAUAGUUCAGAGUUUCAUGAUUCACUAUACAAACUAUCAAUGCUCUUAUUUAUAUAUUGAGACAGAAAAAAAAAUAGUAAACAUUAAAUUUUCAUAGCACAUCUUAUAUGCUAUUCAAUCCUAUCGUUGAACGAAAUUUAAA
This is a long non-coding RNA of Diprion similis, 853 nucleotides long. RefSeq lists it as uncharacterized. NCBI's taxonomy places the organism in Eukaryota, Metazoa, Arthropoda, Insecta, Hymenoptera, Diprionidae. The transcript has 2 exons. The record is from RefSeq and is a predicted model, not a curated record.